GGCCUGGGCAUCCAUCUAGGACCUGAUGUUCAGAUAAGGGCUGGCGUUCUCCUGGCCUGGUGUCCAUGUGGAGCCUGGGCGUACACUUGAAGCCUGAUAUCCCAGGUGGAUACCUGGGCCCCAGUGGUCAUCAGAUCCUAGGAAACUCUCAGGCCCCAGGUGCACAUAAAGCUACAGUGGCCACCUAGGCCACAGGUUGAUACACAGGGUCCAGGUGGACACUGGGUGCAAGAUGAACACCAGGCCCCAGGUGUCUGCCUAGUCCUCAAGUGGACACCAGGCACUAGAUUGACACACAGGUACCAGGUGGAUAUCAGGCCGCAGGUGAACACCAGGCCCCAGGUGGGGUGGGUUACUUAUAGCAUAGGUGGCCAUCAGUUCCCAGGUCUAUAGCCACUCCCCACCUGAAAAUCAGGAUCCAGGUGGAUACCCAUGUCCUAGGUGAACACCAGUUUCCAAAUGGACAUCAGGCUCCAAGUGAACACACAGGCCCCAGUUCAAUACCAGCCUCAGGUAGACAUCAGGACCCAGGUGGACCCCAGGCCCAAUGUGCAUGCCUAGUCUCUUGGAAUACAUCAUUUUCAAGGUGGACACCCAGAUUCCUCGUAGACAUCUGAUGCCAGGUGGAUAUCUGGCUGCAGGUGGACAUCAGGCCCCAGGUGGAGGAGACCCAGUACACAGCUGUAAAUCAGGCUCCAGUAUUUCAUCAGGCCCCAGUUAAACACUUGACUAAAGGUGCGCAUCAAGACCCAGGUUGACCCCCAGGCUUCAGGUGCACACUAGGCCCAAAGUGUACACCCGUGCCCAGGUGGGCAUCAGGCCCAAGGUGUACACCAGACCCCAAGUGGACAUCAGGUUCCAGGUUGACACCAGUCUCUAGGUAGAUCCUUAAGUCCCAAUUGGUCAUCAGGCCCAAGGUGGAUGGAUACCUUGACCCCAGGGGGUCACCAGGUCCCAGGCAGGCCUCAGGUGGACACCAAGCCCUAGGUUAACACAAAGUCUGAGAUGGUUUCAGCCCCCAUGUGGACUUUAGUCAUAAGGAGCUUACCUAGGCCCUAUGUGGACAUCAGGUCCCAGGUUGACACAAUGAACCAUGUAGAAGUCAGGCUGUAAGUAGACACCCAGGCCCUAGGUAAAUACUUUGGUCCCAAGCCAACAUCAGGCCCUAUGUGGACAUCCAGACUCCAGGAAGAUGUCAGGCCCCAGGUGAACACUGAACUCAGGGUGGUCAUCAGGCCCUAGGUUGACACAUAGGCCUCAGGUAGACAACAGGCAUAGGUGAACUUCAGGCUCUAGAUGAAUGUUGGGCUCCAGGAAGAAGUCUGUGCCCCAAUUAAACACUGGGUCUUAGGUAGACAUCAGGCCUCAAAUGGAUGCCCAGGCCCCAGGUGGAUAUAAGGCCUCAGACAAACACCAGGCCCCAGGUAGACAUUAGACACGAAAUGGACACUCAGGCCACAAGUGAACAUCUGUCCCCAGGGGGACAUCCAUCCCAAGGUGGACAUCAGGCCAGAGAUGUACACCCAGUCCCUAGGUAACUACAAGGCCCCAGGUGGACAUGAUGUUCCAGAUGGAUAUGAGGCCCCAAGUGGAUACUAGGCCCAGGUGGACCCCAGGUCUCAGGGGCACACCAGGCCCCAGGGGAACACCAGGCCCUAGGUAAGCAUGCAGUCCCAGGUGGACACCAGGUGCCAGGAGGACACCAGGACCCAGUUGGUCAUCAAGCCACUGCUGAACACCAAUUCCCCAUGAACACCAGUCCUCAGGUGGGCACCUAGUCCUCUUGUGUGCAUCAGGUGCCAGGCUGACAUAGGCACCAGCUGAACUCUGGGCCUCAGGUGAACAUCAGAUCCCAGGUUGUCACCCAGGUCCCAGGUGAACACCAGGUUUUAGGUGGACACGAGGUCCUAGGUGGAUGUCUAUGCUCCUGGUGAACCUCAGGCCCUAGUGGACACUCAGGCCCUUUAUAGACAUCUGGCUCCAUAUGCACUCCCAGGGCCCAGGUAGACAUGAGGCCCCAGAGGAACACCAGUCCUUAAUCAACUAAGACUGAAUUCCCCUAGGGCUGGAGACUGAGUAUUCACCUUGGGCCUAGGAAUCUACCUGGGGCCAGAUGUCGAUCUGGGGCCUGAUGUCUACUCAGGUUCAGCUGUCCACCUAGGGUGUGGUGGACCUCUAUUCUGUCCCCACCCUGCAACAUUGGGCCAGCUCAGUCUCUGCCACCAGCUUCCCACAUCGUCGUCCCUCAGAGCCCUAGGGUGGGUUCCCCCUACCUAGUGUCUCUGGC
RNAcentral lists this long non-coding RNA (2287 nucleotides) under Homo sapiens (human). RNAcentral describes it as "HSALNT0039973". The record is from RNAcentral. Lineage: Eukaryota; Metazoa; Chordata; Mammalia; Primates; Hominidae.